This 1222-nucleotide long non-coding RNA is filed under the name Olea europaea subsp. europaea. The record is from RNAcentral. Lineage: Eukaryota; Viridiplantae; Streptophyta; Magnoliopsida; Lamiales; Oleaceae.
AUUGCAUCUCUUCUCAAAAAGGUCAUUCCUUACAAGAUUUUCUUGAAAAUUGCUCACGAAACAGCUGUGAAGCAAUAGAAUGUUUGGAGAAUCAAAUCAGGGACGCAGCACAUCUAGCAGAAGAUAUUGUUGAAUCCUAUGUUGUCGGUCAACUUCUUCCAGAAUCCACAAGUAACAGGGGCAAGAUCCUCACAUUGUUCUGCUCUAACUUGGUGAAACUAAACGAAGAAAUUGAUUCAUUAAUAAAUCAGAUGAUGAAGAUUGAGGACAACGUUGUCUUAGAAGAUCAACAGCCAAGGACUUGGAUGCCAUAAAAAACUGUUAUGAAGUGGUAUGAUUGUUCAAAACCAACAAUUAAAAAAAAAAAAUGAGUUAGGCCAUGCGAAAAAAAAAAAAUGAGUUAGGCCAUGCGACCGCAUGGCCUAAAGCCAUGCGGCCGCAUGGAACCCUACCGAGACCAAAUGGUCUCGGUAGGAUUGUACCAUGCGGCCGCAUGGUACAGAAAAGUCGACCGUUGGGUCAUUUUUUGUUAGUUUUUUGGUGGCUUUUCAUCCAUAAGGUGCACCACUUCGUGAAGCUAUACUACUUGGCUAUAAAUAGGUGAUCUUGGGUCAUUGAAAAGGUGGAAAAAAAAAAAGAAAUUCCUAUUAUAUUGAUACUUCUUGAGAUCAAAUCCAAAAGAAAAUACCCUCUCAUAUUCAUCUUUUUCUUUGUGUUCUUAAGUUUUAGAGAUUCAAACAAGUGUUUAGUGUUUGAAUCUCUAUAAGACUUGAUUAAUCCUUCAAACCUUUUGCCGGAUCACCCUUUAAACACCAAAAUAGUGGGGGCAAAAUUCGUUUGAGGACAACAAUCAAAGAUUGUGUUUGAGCCUUCAAUUUCUUCAUAUAUAUACUUUGCUAUUUCUUCAUCUCCUAUACUUCUUUCGAUUUUUAAUUUUGUUUGUAAUUCGUUCUCAUAAUAUCUUUGGUGGAGUAACAUUAUUUCCAACAAUCUCAAACGAAUUUUUGUGAUGGAAAACGAAACUACAAUGGCGACCAUCAAAUUGAUGAAUCAAGAUUUGGUUCGAUUGGAUCGGUUCGAUGGCACAAAUUUCACAAGGUGGCAAGACAAACUGAAGUUUCUUCUCACCGCAUUGAAGAUCUUCUAUAUCUUAGACCCAGAAUUGACGCCAUUACCGGAACCCACCAAUGGAGAAACCGAAGCAGUUAGAGCAGAAAGGCAA